Molecule: unclassified non-coding RNA, 406 nt
Filed under: Hevea brasiliensis (rubber tree)
Lineage: Eukaryota; Viridiplantae; Streptophyta; Magnoliopsida; Malpighiales; Euphorbiaceae
Source: RNAcentral
GAAUAAUAGAGUGAGGAACAGUGUGGAUUCGUCUCCGGUGGGUAAAAGGAAGAUUUUUCAAGAUGUUGACGAGCUGAAGGAAGAAACAGAGUUAGAGGUUGCAGAGUUGGAUAAAGAAGAAGAUAGUGAAUGUGAAAAGUCAACUAUAGUUAAGUCGAAGAGACCUGGAAGAAUAAAAGCUUCAAAUGUAAGGGUUACUGAGCAGCAAGAAACUGGUACAGGUGGUGGUGUGGAGGAUGGUAAGAUGAUAGACCAGGAGGAGCUGCUACAUGUGAGGGAUGAAACAGAUGACAGCAUUUCAACAACUAGAUUUAAGGAGGGGGUUGAGGAUGGCAAUGUGGCAUUGCCGUUAGAUAAUGAAGACAAGGCUCAGUUAGAGACUUGUGUAGAGCCAGAAGAAUUCCAC